GGGACCAAUGAUGAGAUCUGGUGGCGUCUGACUGUUUCUCAAUGUCAGCCAUGUAAACAGAUAUCUGAGGUCAGG
This 75-nucleotide small nucleolar RNA is filed under the name Microtus ochrogaster (prairie vole). RNAcentral describes it as "Small nucleolar RNA SNORD113/SNORD114 family (ENSMOCG00000006241.1)". It matches the Rfam family "Small nucleolar RNA SNORD113/SNORD114 family". Rfam says of the family: The imprinted human domain at 14q32 contains two clusters of tandemly repeated small nucleolar RNAs named 14q(I) and 14q(II) snoRNAs. The record is from Rfam by way of RNAcentral. Lineage: Eukaryota; Metazoa; Chordata; Mammalia; Rodentia; Cricetidae.